Molecule: long non-coding RNA, 374 nt
Organism: Telopea speciosissima
Lineage: Eukaryota; Viridiplantae; Streptophyta; Magnoliopsida; Proteales; Proteaceae
Exons: 2
Source: RefSeq, a predicted model, not a curated record
CGGUCGAGCUGAUCUACGAGCACCGUUGUGCGUUAGCAUGCUUUGACGCGGGAGCGCGCUUAUAGGUUGCGCGCGCCUUACUCAAAUAGGGGCCUUUAGCUAUAGUGGGGCCCUUGCUUGUUUGGGGGAUUAAUUGAUUAGAUACCCGAGAACCAUAAUCUUUCCUAGGAACAGCUUCUACGACGAUAGAUAGGGGUCAGGUUUGGCAUCUAUGCCCCCUGCCCUCCAAACAGUAUGGGAGCCUUUCAGCUCGUACUGCUCACACUCCUAGAUCUUCACGGCACCUCCUCCACCAUAGUGUGAGCUGGGAGCAGCUCCGAAAAGCUAGGCCUACUUAAAAAUUGGAAAUUCGCUUUCAACAACGUCAACAACAC